RNAcentral lists this long non-coding RNA (1051 nucleotides) under Homo sapiens (human). Its description in RNAcentral is "HSALNT0155449". The record is from RNAcentral. Lineage: Eukaryota; Metazoa; Chordata; Mammalia; Primates; Hominidae.
CCAAAGGCACUCUCCCGGCUUUCAUCUCAGUAAUGGCCUGCAGGCUGGAGCAGGACACAGGGGGUUAAAAAGUGGGGCUCAGAACCUGCCUUUUGGCCUGACUCACUCCAUCACCCCAAGGGCCCUCCAAAUGAGUUUCCUGGGGCAGUGCCUUUAUCACUGGAGCACACUCACGGAUGGACUUCCCGGCCCCGGGAUUCUCACUCGGAGACCUCUCAUGCGCUCUCGACCCAGCACGGGCCCCGUGCCCCUUCUCCCGCUCCAUCCCCGCCUUGUCCAAUGGGGCAGCACACCACGGACCCCGACUCCACACAGCCAGCCCCAUUAAUAAAGAGUUAAGAAAAUUCAUUAGGAAGUAGGUCUUUUAUAGAUUCCAUUAAAGCCUUCUUCCUACUUCUGUCACUGAGAAAGGAUAAAAAUCCUUUUAUCACUCUACAACUUGUUAAUGUCCCACCCCGGGAGCGUUUCAUCUGCAAUAAACAUCUUCACAAAAUAUGCAUCCCCAGGGAGGAGCCGUUAAUUUCCUCAAGGCCUCACACAUGUAAGGGAUUUUAUUGCCUGCAGGUGCUUCAUGAUAUUGUGUGAGCUUCUAAUAAACGUCCAGUAAACCGCAGGUAGCGCCUCGGAGAGAGAUGGGCCCAUGCACCUGUCCACAAAGGGCCUCCACGCACCGCGCCUUCACCUUCUGUGGCCCAGCCCUGGCACGGUCAGCUCCUGAGCCCAGCCUGCCCCUCGGGACGCCCGCAGCUAAGACAAAGAUGUUGAAGACGAAUUGUUUGAAUGAAGCAAUCAGGAAAAAAAUAUUUGCAGAGUCAAGAAAGAUCAACAGAACAUGAAAAAAGGAAACAUGAAAAAUAAAAUACACACUAGAAAAAGUCUUUAUAUGAGAUUUUCUUUAAAAUAUUUUAACAUUUGACCUUCUACCUCGGUGUGCUAUUCUAAUCCCAUUUAGUUUCAAAAUGCCAUAACUAUCAGUGUGCAGAUGGAUGGGCUUUUUAAAAAAUGCCGUAACUAGAACUUCAAAUCUUGACCACUUUUUCUUACUUUUCCC